RNAcentral lists this long non-coding RNA (2298 nucleotides) under Callithrix jacchus (white-tufted-ear marmoset). RNAcentral's name for it is "lncRNA (ENSCJAG00000083539.1)". The record is from RNAcentral. Lineage: Eukaryota; Metazoa; Chordata; Mammalia; Primates; Cebidae.
GAGGCGGCUCAGUGAGCUCCUGGGGACUCUGAGUGAGGAUGUCCUGCUGAAGAUGGUGGAAGUCUGAGUUUGCAGUAGCUGCCGUGGGGGCAGGAGCCCAAGGUGAUCUGGGGAUACAUGCCCACCGGAUGGGUGCUGCUUAGAGCUUGCUAAAAUUAUGGAAAGAGCAAGCGGACAGACUUUCCCUGCACAGCUGCUCCAGCUGAAGUGCACACACAGGACACUGGACCUGGCCUACAGGCAGCUUCUGACUCAGGAGGAAGAGAGGUGCCUCCAUCUGCCUUCCCGUCCGCGGGCCGUGUGUGCCUCCGUCCUGCCCAAGCCGAGCAGCAGUCUUCCUGUUCCAGGCAGCGUACUUGCCCAGGACUCACUCAUGCUGUCCUGUUGGAUGGGAGGGGACGUGAGACCUGCUGCUUGGUCACUGAGCCCACAGGCUAAGAGGAAACAGAUGCCUGCCCCAGCAACCUCUUGGCAUCUGGCUCCCUGUCCCUGCUCCGGGGCACCGGGACCCACUGCUGUGCCCGGAAGACCUGAAUAUGUCCCAGGACAGGAAGGCCACCAUGUGUCCUAUGCCUCCCAGCUCCUUCCCCUGGGACCCUCCCAAGGCAGAGAGCAGAGAAGGGACUCCCACUGUGACGGGGCAUCUUUGGGACUGCAUGACUGCUUUAGAAACAUCUGGAGUGAUGGACGUUUCAGGCCAUGCGUCUGCACAGGGGGCACGGGGAAGACGCUGACCAGGAGCUGUCCUCUACUCCCCCUCUGGCCUCCUGCACAUCGGAGCUGAGAAGACCCACCUCACCCUGCUGGGAACCUCGUGACGCCCACCGCCUGUGAAGCCCAUUCCACGCACCCAGACUUGGGCUCUGCACCGGGAACCUGCUGUCCUCUGCACUAUGAACACUCACCCACUGUCUCUGACUGAAAUCCUUUCUCACCUGGGGAUGCCCCGUCCACGGGCCAUGUUCCAAGAGCCUUCCUGAUUCUGGCUGCCAGGUCUUAAGGAAGGAGGCCUGUCACCUCUGCACCCACCCAUCUGAACAUGGAGGUCAUGGCUAUGUUCCUUCCCCACCCUGUCAGUGCCACGGUCUUCACCGCAUGCUCCUACAUGCUGAGCAGCAGAGCUGCAUGUCUUCACCUUUAAUGAGGAAACACGUGUUCUGCAGAUGAAGGAACGGGGAGGCCACAGCACGGUGGAGCGGGGAGGCCGCCCUCCACAUUCCAACCCCAGGAAAAAGUAACCUGGAGGCAGAAAAAGCCAAAUUGAAGAAUGGACAGUUAUCCACCGAACAUUCUCGAAGGGGAACUGGGUUAUACUGUUUUGAAUUUGAGGUCAAUCUAUUGAAAUUGUUUUUUAAUUCAAAUGAUGGCUUUGUCACCAAUAGCUUAAAAGGCAAACAACGAGCUUGAACACCACACACACACUCCUGAAGUCUAGUCUGUUCUCUGAAAUUGAUGUUUGCCAAUAAACAGGCGCCAUCAGGAAAAAUAGAGGUUUUCCAGAUUGAAAGCUCCCUCCCUCUCCCACAGCCCACUUGCAUACCCCCCUGAAGACAGAGGCCGGGAAGUGAGGCUGGCUCUCUGUGGUGCCAGCCACUCUCUGCAGCACUGGAGCCCUGUGGGGUAAUGACAGGAGGCCUGAGAGAUGCACCCUGCCACAGACACGGGGAUAAGGGCUGUGUCCACAGAAAUUCACUCUCAUGUUCUCUAACUAAGACGCGGGGGGUGUCCAUGGCUGGGCUAACAACUCCACACAAAUGCGAAGGAACCUGACAGGCAGGUGCCCUCAGGAAGCACAUGCAGGGGGCUCUGGCAAAGCAGCCCUUCCUCCACUCACCACCCACCCCAGCUGGGGGGAGAAGAACCUCCCCAUCCAAGGCCCACCCUGACCUGGGAAGAGCAGCCCAACCCCUGUCCACCAUUAACCCUGACCUGGGAGAAUCAGCCCCUCUGCCAUCCACCUUCACUCUGACUUCCAUGUCCAUCAUUAACCCUGGCCUGGGAGAAACAGCACUUCCCCCACUUACCAUCUACCCUAGCCUAGGAGAAGCAGCAGCUCCCCGUACACCAUCCACCCUUACAGCCUUACCUGGGAGAAGUGGAGCCCACCCAUUCACCAUCCACCCUUACCUGGGACAAGUGGAGCCCACCCAUCAACCAUCCACCCUUACCUAGGAGAAGUGGCCCCUCCCCAUCCACCAUCCACCCUUACCUGGGAGAAGUGGCUCCUCCCCCCUCCACCAUCCACCCUUACCUGAGAGAAGUGAACCCCCCCAUCCACCAUCCACCCUUACCUGGGAG